Molecule: RNA transcript, 6487 nt
Organism: Lycium barbarum (goji berry)
Lineage: Eukaryota; Viridiplantae; Streptophyta; Magnoliopsida; Solanales; Solanaceae
Exons: 12
Source: RefSeq, a predicted model, not a curated record
UCACACAUAUUUCAAAACGAUACAAAUCAAUUUUUAUAUAUAAUUAAUACACAUGUCAAUAAUAAAAAAUACUUUGUAAUAUUAGGUCAUUUUCCCUAUUAUUUUUGGCUGAAAAAUGACCAGUUUAUAAUUAUAUUUGAAAAUAGUUAAACUUUAAUGGGCGACUGAAAGUGGGAUGUUUUGUCAUAAGGAAAGUGAUUGUUGCCGCCAAUGUGUUUCCAUUUUCCCUCCAAUUAAUAGCCAACCCUAACACACACUUUGGGUUGGGUCGGAAUGGGUGAAAUUCCGGUGUUUACUGACACCAAUCUUGGCACUCGCAUUGUCGUCCCUCUUUCUCCCCACGCUACCCCCUACCACUUCAAAAGACAAGUUGAAAGGACUCACUUGAAUUGUUUCUCAGAGAUGGGGCAGAUCAAAGUGGAUGCUGUGAUGGUCGAAAGGAACUCCUGCUUUUACCACCUUUCUGGAAAUUUUCCUCUAAAGCAUGUUUUCCAGCAUCAAGGGGGAUUUAGGUCACUGCAUGUCCAAGUUCAUCAAUAUGGGUUGGGUUCAUCUGAACUGGAUCAUGAUGAUAAUGUUCCUUCUAGUCCCACAAAACUCAGAACUUCUACGACAAGCACAAAAUCUGACAAGUUAAAAUGCCAAGGAAAAGUGAAAAAGCUGAAAAGAUUUGCCUGGCUUAGAAGUAGACUGUUAGAUGUUUUAACAAUAGCUCAUUUAUCAAAGAAAAAAAAGAAAAAGAAAAAGAAAAAGGAAAGGAACAGAGCUAGGGAAAUGAACACAUUUAACUGCUUAGAAGGACCUGCGGAGCCUAUAGUUGUUUCCACAUAUGGAUGUGAAGGUAAGGAACAAAGUUUCUGUCCAGCAGCAGAGUCACAUUGUGAAGAUUCAUCCGAAGCAAUUUCGGUUUCGGGAAUUAUCAGGAAAUAUUUCUCAAGUUAUGAUGAGGUGAACUCAAGCUCAAGAUUUUCUCAUCAAGGAGCUCAAACUCUAAAAGGGGAUCAUACAAGGGUUGGAACAAAUCUUCGUGAUCUUAAUGUAGAAUGUGCUUUGCUGUCUCCUUGUUCAGUCAAAACACCUCGGCAAAUUUCAAAUGAAAGCGUUAGCAGAGCCUCAAACAAUAAGUCUAAAGGGAUUGAAAUUGGAAGUCGUAUUGUUUCCGCAUCCAAAAGUCUCUCUAGUCUCCGCAGUACGAGAUUGCUGCCUAGAUCUGCUUCUCAUAUUCAAAAUCUAGCAUUUGAGUGGAACUUAUGAUGUACCACCAUAAAAAAUUACAUGCCAUUUCUGGUAGAAGUAGUAGCAAAAUGUUGCUUAAGAGAUGAACUUCAUCUUUGUACCGAACUUCUCCUUUCCGUUUACAAUCUUCAGCUUUUAGGCUUUCUUGGGUGAGUAGGCGAAUGCAAUUCUAAAGGUAGUUUGAAUGCUGGUGGAGAGUAUCUUCAAUCGUGGAUUCGAAAGGUUGCUGUAAAGAUUUGUGGCCUACUUCAAACUGUUGCAUUUCUGAUCUGAAGAGUCGGUUGCUGCGAAUCCUUUUUAGCCUCUUGAUGUAUAGAUGUAAAGAAUUAAGUAGUGUUUCUACAAGGUUGAUGGCAUGCUAGACAUAUUUGGUUCAUUCGAUUUCAUCCCAUGCGCGUCUUGUGCAGCAAAGGAAGCAAGGGGUAGUCAAACAAUGGAAUUCCAAACAGUUUGAAGAGACUUUAGUUCCUUCCCGUUUGGACAUAAAUCUAGAUAUUCUUCAUCAUUCCAAUGGGUGGGUUGCAAAUCAUUUCAUCUUAUGAAAGGUGUUACUGUGCCAAAUUUCCUGCGUCUGCAAUGUACUUGAAGAAUUACCAUACAGGUAUCCCUAGUUCAGCUAAUUUGUGCAUUCCCUCUUGGGUUGCAGAGGUACAAUAAAAACAUCCUUUGGACAUAUAUGAAAGAGAAGUAAAAUAUGGUCGUUGAUCUGCAAUUAAGAGAACUUUAGAAGGAGAUGUCCCACCUUCUUAUAUGAUGGUACGCUGCGUUUCCAAUGUCUAUUCACUUUGCGACUUUCCAGUUGAACCACAAAUGGAACUUGAGCGGGAUCGAACUCACGGAUGGGUAGUAUGAAAAUUAUUUAUGUCUAUCACUGUAUUAUAAAUUGGAUUUGUUUGUUUCACUGGUAUUCUAUUAUUGCUGUCCUGUAGCUGAAUGAGCCAAAAUUUAGGUGUCAAGCAAUUUCUGUUGGGAAUCUAGAGGCCAAUUGAUAAGCCUCCUCUUGUUGAAGCCAACUGUUGGGAAUUUGUUUAGUCAAGUAAACCCUCUGACCUUACAGGAUGCUGUGAAAGCUGAUGCUGGCCAUAUGGGAUAUUUUGUGUACUGUUGGCUGCUGGAAAGCUGUUUGUUGGCUAAAAGCUUCUUAGGGUAACCACACUAUAUUAUAGGUUACAGUCUAUCCGAUUGUCACAUUGCUCACAGCUUAUCUUGUCAUUUACACAUCUGGGGAGCUGGAUUGUGUGGCUGGACAGGUCCUGUAUCACCUCUUGAGGUUAGCAGCUUCUAAAUAUUUUUGCUUUCAAGGGCUUUUCCAGUUUCUAUUAAUUUCAGGCGACUAGUUUGGUGCUGCAUAUAAAUGGGACAUAUAGAGGCAUCUCGUUUGGGGUUCUGAAGCAUUAGUAAUACCAACAACUCAUUACUUGCAUUUUUAUCCUGACCAUGCAAUUAUAAUAUUCCUAUCUCUCCUUUUCCCGUCUUGCUCCAUGUAAGUAUUGUUAGAGGUCCUGUUCCAAUUACAUUGGUUAAUUUCAAGGACAUAUCAUGUUUUCUACAGGGAAAUGUAAUUGAAAAUUGUUAGGUAGUUUUGAUUAUGAUGGAAAUCUAUAGCAUUCUGGUUAUGUUUUGGCGGUUCGUUGUAAGAUCUGAAUGGAUGGAUAAAGAGAUGCAUUAUUUUAAUGAAAAGUGAUACUAAAUGCACCACUGUUUGCUUUUUCGACUGCAAAAUAUAUCCACCCAAAAUGCAUAUUUGUCCUCCAUCACCCUGCUGCUUUGAGUAAUAAACUUGGAUCCUGACCUUUUUAUUCUCCUGCCAGCUUCUUGCUUUUCCGUGAUUCCGUCAUCUGUAUCCCGUGGUACAUCAAGAAAUAUGCCCCAACUCCUUCACCAUAGACCAUUGGGCGUCUGAUGCUAGUUUUAAUAAUAUUCAUGGCAAUAAUCUUAUGGAUUACUCUCAAGUCGACAUUUGAUUUAUUCAACGGAAAAGGGUCAAAAAACCCUUAACGUAUUAGAAAUGGGACAAAACCGCCCUCCUUCCAUCUGUUUGAUCAAAUUUGCCCCUUCUUCCACCUAUUUAGGUUAGAAAAACCCUUAACGUAUUAGAAAUGGCUCAAAAAUAGCCUCCUUCCACCUAUUGGAUCAAAUUUUCCCUUGACGUUAUUUUCAGGCUUAAAAUUGUCCCUUCAUCGACGGCAUUAAAUGACAUUUAAUUAAAUUUUAAUUAAACAUGUGACUUUAUUUAUUGGUCCAUAUAAAAUUCUAACCCAACCCGAAAGGACUCGACCUAUCCAUAACCAAACCGAACACAAAACCCAUUUUAGACUAACACGACUAAGCGAUAAAAUGCUUUUGCAUUUCGUCAUUCUAGACAAAAGAAUACUGAAUUUAGCAAUCUAUGUUAUUACCCUUCUCUGUUACAACUGAAUGCACCUUUUGUCAUUAAAUCUAAUAAUUUUUCUAGUUUCGGGUUAUACUUAACGUCAACAUUGUGAUGUUAUAAUCAAAGUUUUAAGUUUCUCGAUGCAUGAUCUAAAGAAGUCUAAUCUUAGCAGUUGAAAUCUAAGUUACACGGACUCGGGUGCGGGUAUCUGAUACGGGUACGAAUUCAAGUAUCGGAUUCGGCAAAAUCUAAAUUUUAAGAUUCGGGGGUGAGUAUCCAGUUAUGUAUACGGGUGCGGGGAUUCGGCUGUAAAUAUGAAAAAAUAUAAAAGGCAUAUGAAAAAAUACUUUCAAGAAUAAUCCAUUGUACAAAGGGGUCAAUUUUAUUAUGUUCAACUAGUAAAUAUGUCCGUGCUUUUUGCGAUUAAAAAUAUAAAUUAAUUAUCAAAGAAUUGACAUGCUAAUAAUUAAUUUAAAAAUUAUUCCUAUAUUGUAUAAGAAAGAAACAUUUAUAAAUAGCAUAAUUAGUUGCCUUUCAAUUUUUUGUCACAACUUGAAAUUGCUUUAGUCUGGACUCCAGCAAACCUGUAUCACUCUGUUAAAUCCCCGACGUCUGCUAAAUCCAAUCUAUUGGCAAUGAUGAUGUUUCUUUAAAUCAGUUAUGCAUAACACAUAAAUAUGUUUGUAUAUAUGUAUGUGGCUCGUGCAAUGGCUAGAUGGUAAGGGCUGGUGGUUUUAGCAGUUGGGCUUGGUUCGAAUCUAUAAGUCUGUUGGGUUGAAAAUAAAGAAUGACAAGACUGUGACAGUAAACAAAAAGCUGGUGUCCUUCUCUGGAACAUAGUGCGAGCACUUGAGGUGAUUUUUCCAAAUUAAGAUGAAAAAAUGUCUUCAUAAAUCUUAAUAAUUACUGUUAACAAUAAUCAAGCUUGUGAGUUUUCCAAUAAAGAAGCCAAAAGGUUUUGCAAGCUAUUUCAGAGUUUUCCCUGUCAAUCUUUUUCCGACUGUCAUAUCAAGAAACCGACAUUCUAGGAUGGAUCCUUUCUGUUAGAGCAUGCCUAUAUCUUGGAUACAGCCCCAACUUUCACGCAAUGCAGCCUCAAUACCAUUUGAUGGGUUUUAUCUGUGAUAUGUACUGACAAGACCUAUGUUUGUGAGUAGUCAAUCUAGAGGCGGUAGCAUUGUGAAGGGAAUAGUCUCAGCAUCUCAAAGAGGAAAGAGAGAUCCCUACAUUGGAAGCGACUAUGAAAGUGAAGAAGGGGCAAGAAUUUUGAGGAUACUCGAGAAAGCUGCAGAACCCGAACUUCUGAUGGCAGAGAUGACUUCAGAGCAGUUGAACUUAUUUUCAUCCUAUCAAGCAAAGUUGGAGCUAUGUUCAUUUCCACCUACUUUAGCCAUAGGAGGUUGGUUAGUCAUGAUUCCCUUUUUGUCAUUUUCAGGCAUUGCGGCAGUCUGACCUGCAGAAAUCUCUUGAAAGAGCUUUGCAAGAUGCUGGGCUUGCUGAAAGAGACGUCAUUCCGUUUAUGCAAGUUAGAGUUGUUGGAUUGACUAGCAAAAGUACUCCAUUGAAGUGCUGUCCCAAGGAAGGCUUUAUCACAAUAUGGAAUCCAACUGAGAAACUGCAAAGUGAGCUUGCAGAGGGUCAAGCUUUUGCUGUUUCAGGGCCUCAAGCUUUUGCUGUUUCAGGGCUUACACCUAUAAGGUGAGACUCUAGCACCCUUUACUUGCAAGCAAAAGGAUCCACAGCCAAAUGGCUGCCUUUGUCUCCUCUGGCAAUUGAGCAUUUUUCGGUCUUUUUUGUCCUCGCCAAUCAAUUCCACUGAAUUAAUUGGGUGAAGUUCGUAUGUCCAGGGAGUUUGAUAUUGCUGCGGUGUUUUUUUUUUUUUUUUUUUUCCCUCUCUUGAUAAGGGAUUUUAGUCAACUGCGGUGGUUGUUUUUGUGGGGCAGCUGUAUACAGAAGCUCAUCAAAAGAAGCAGUGGGUAUUUAUAGCUGAUGGAUCCACAGCUACGUUAGAUUCCAAUGAUCAAUCAGAAACCUUGAUGGCCAUCAGUUUCACCUCACCACGCAUAAGAACUGAUUCAUUUGCACCAAUAAACUCUAACCUUGUAGGAUCUACGUGAAGUUUCUGCAGGUUUGUUUCUGCAAUCUCAUCAAGAGGGCAAGAGAUAACAUUAAUAACCUCAGGGUAGCUGAAGCAACCGAAAAUUCAACCUAUUAUUUAAAUUAUGAUCAUUCACGUUGUUCUCAUCUAAAAGACGCCGGUGCUUCUGCUGAAAGAUGGGCAAAGAUAUCUGGCUUGAGACUUGAAAAGCUUAGGGGAAAAGUUCUAUCUAUAAUUAGCUGCUCUGAAAUUUGAAGUUCAGCGGGUAUCCUACUUAAAUAAUGCUGUGAGCUCUUUUCUAGAACAUUUUUUGGAACUAGUCGUGGAACUUAAGCAGGGAAAGGCUGCUAACAAUUUGUCACUCCAGCUAAAGAAGGCGAUUGAGAUGCACACAUUUAAGGGCUGCAGCUUUAUGCACAUAUAUAGCGAGACCUAUUUAUAUAUUGCAGUUGUCAUUUGUCUGCAACUUGAAGCAAUGCCGGGAUAUCAGUUGGGUCAGUACAAGGCAAAAUGAUCCAGCCAACAUUAAGCUUUCGCUGUGGAUGAAUGUUGUUUUCACUAAAACAAACUGUGUUGUGUUUUAAUUAAGUUCUCUUUAACCAUUAACGCGUUGGUGAUUUUGGUGUUCGUCAUCUUAGCAUCAAUUUUGUUUCUCAUUAUGUGAUUGUGCGAUUUCCCAUUUAGACCAUAUUUGAUGGUUUUAAGGACCUCGCUACAUUUCCAAUCAUGCUGUUUUAAUCUGUGUACGCGUUAUAAAUUAAGGGAGAAACCUUGCAUCA